AUCCUGUGGAGACGGGUCUCUAUCUGCAUUGUGACGACAAAGCUCUGUGCCUGUCAACACUGAUCAGAACCUACACAUUAAAUACGUGUAAUUUCCUGUGUGUCACCAGCACCGUGACAAAGCUCUGAGGCAAAAGUAGAGAAGUGUGCAGAACCCUCUGUGGAAGACAGACCCUGAGCCAGCCCAUCUAUGAAACGCAGACCAGCUCAGAGACCUCAGCCACAAGAAAAGCAUGCCAAGGCCAAAAACUACGAGUUCUUUUACCCAUGAAACUCAGGCAAAGGUUCACAUCCUUCUCCUCCUCGUUCCCGUCAAGCUGCAGAAGGAUGUCACUGAGUGCAGGCCCACAGUACGCACCUCUUAAACAUCGGCAUGGCUUUCCCUGGACUGCGCAGGCCGGUUUUACCAUAAACACCAGUGCACAGGGAGACAAGGAGGGUAAGGGCACAAGGACCCUAGCUGCUCACCUUCAUUCCCUGAUGGACCCCCCCAACCUGAGUGGCCCCCACGCUCCGACUGUGCAGGGAGUGGUACUGCCCAGCUCCUGACCGCCCUGGUGUCUUCUGGAACCUGGGGCUCUGCCGACAGGGGUGCCGUGGGGGCUGGAGGUGGGAGGGAGACACCUCUUCUCCUGGGUACUUUCAGGGUACCCAGUCUCCGCUGGCUCAGCCUCCAGCAGUUCCCUUCUUGAUCACAGCCCCGCCCUCCUCUGCAGGCCCAGAUCUUGGCCUGCGGGCCCCUCGACAACCCCACAUUUCUGUCAGCCUCCCUCGUCCUGCGGGCAGCACUUGCUGCCCUGACACAGCGAAGCCUGUCGCCACCCGAGGUUGGCAUCUCUGUCUAGUGACCAGCUUUCUUCUAAGUUUUCAGGGCUCCA
Long non-coding RNA from Orcinus orca (killer whale), 877 nucleotides. RefSeq lists it as uncharacterized. The record is from RefSeq and is a predicted model, not a curated record. The transcript has 3 exons. Lineage: Eukaryota; Metazoa; Chordata; Mammalia; Artiodactyla; Delphinidae.